Long non-coding RNA from Haliotis rufescens (red abalone), 692 nucleotides. RefSeq lists it as uncharacterized. NCBI's taxonomy places the organism in Eukaryota, Metazoa, Mollusca, Gastropoda, Lepetellida, Haliotidae. The record is from RefSeq and is a predicted model, not a curated record. The transcript is spliced from 2 exons.
GAUGCUUUUCUUAACCAAUCAACAACCAAGUCAACAAAGGUGAGACAGUCAACAAGGAAACACAAAGGACCCCCUAAUGAGAUAACAUGCUGCAACAAGAGACUGAGACAACACUAGCUGUACACAGUGGCAUUUAGCAGUUGAGGGUUCCACACAGUGAUUGGAAGGAAUGUGUUUGGCGGACAUGACAGACACGAGUGUGUAUGUACUCCUACACACUAUUUGUUCACCUUACUUUUCUGGACAAACAUUCCAGACACAUAUUCAAUUUCUCGUAACAUAAACUUCCUGUUAGAAAUGCUUCCUGUACCCAGUUUGUGAUAUAGCAGGUCUUACCCGCACAAAGGCUGCCGGGAACCAGCCCCGGCGCUGCUCCGUACACCCGAACCACCAGUCCUUGUCCGACAUGUCCGUCACCCGGAUCUGCUCCCCUGCUCGGAAACCCAGCUCAUCCGGGUCCAUGGUCACAUGAUCCCAAAGGGCCUCUGCAAAGGUCCUCGUCUCCUCCUGCAUCUGAACACACAACCAGGCACUGCUAGAAACAUGCUCACAACUCUCAGCAAUAGGUCUUUCAGUUCUUCUAUUCAUAACAUAGAUAUUAUAUCCAUACCGUUACAGAAGGUAAAUCUAGUAGGAUCUAGUAGAUAUUUGUCAAAAUACUUCACAUGACGAGCCUCUGUACCUUAUUAAAA